GGAGGCCGGGCAGCCGCGGGUAUGCAAAUACGCGAGGAAAGUCCGGGCUCCACGAAGCAAGGGUGGCGGGUAACGCCCGCCCGGGGCAACCCGAGGGACAGUGCCACAGAGAGUAUACCGCCGAUGGAUGGCCCAAGGUCUUGGGCUUCUCACAGGCAAGGGUGAAAGGGUGCGGUAAAAGCGCACCGGGGGCCUGGUAACAGGUCCCGUCAUGGCAAACCCCACCCGGAGCAAGGCCGAAUAGGGACCCCGCGCCGGAAACGGCAGGAGCGCUUCGCUUCCGAGGAGGUCCGGGUUGGCUGCUGGAACCGUCUGGCAACAGGCGGUCUAGAUGAAUGGCUGCCACCCUCCGCAAGGAGGGGACAGAACCCGGCUUACAGGCCUCCUGG
This 389-nucleotide RNase P RNA is filed under the name marine eukaryotic metagenome. Its description in RNAcentral is "Bacterial RNase P class A". It matches the Rfam family "Bacterial RNase P class A". From Rfam's summary of the family: Ribonuclease P (RNase P) is a ubiquitous endoribonuclease, found in archaea, bacteria and eukarya as well as chloroplasts and mitochondria. Its best characterised activity is the generation of mature 5'-ends of tRNAs by cleaving the 5'-leader elements of precursor-tRNAs. Cellular RNase Ps are ribonucleoproteins. The record is from RNAcentral.